AUUUUUUUGAUUACACAGUGAUGUGCCCCACAGAUCUCCCUCACUGUGAGGCAAUCACUUCAUUUAUCCAAGUUCUACAAAGCCUUUAUUAUUUCGGUUAGUUCAUAUUUUUGAAGCUAAGUCAUCAGUUUGAUGCGUUUGUUGUAAAAUGUGGUUUAACAGCUUGUUAGCACAUUUAUUUUUUUUUUAAUGGAAUCCAAAGGUAUUUCAUGCUUGAGCAGCAGUGGAUUUAAGAGCCGAUGAAAAGCCCCGCGAGCUGGGCGCAGUCAGCACAAAACAAUGCGGGGAACAUUGUGGAGUCCUACGCAGAGCUACCCCCAGCAGUGGCGUGCGGGUUUCUUGAACUUUAAGUUACGUUUUUUGCUUUUCUUUUUCCCUGACAGUGUCUCAUAAAUAACCCAUGUUGCCUUAUGCGUGUUGGUUUCAGAUUGUCUAGGAUGUACUGGAUCAUUUGAGCAGUCUGCGUUCAUGUGGUUUUUCUCCCCUCUGAAGAUGAUUCGAUUCUGUUUUGUCCACAAAGGGGAGACGUGGAUUGCUGUUUUCUGUCCUCCAAGUGUGGCUUUGUAAAGCUGUCUCAGAACUAACGGGUUGGAACUGAAAACUAUUAUGGAGCUUGGUGAAUGUCAGCGAGCCUUUGAAAAGUAAAAGCUGGGAAGCGACAAACUCUUUCCACAGUUCCAUCCCAAAUACAAACGAGGUCAUUUUCUUGGGAGGCAGCAAAAGUGAGCAUUCUGUGUUUGACCAAAGACAACCUUUUGGUUGAGGUUUUGAUUAUCCAGGGAUGAAAUGGAGGCAAAUGGUCUUCUUUGCCUAAAUCCAGACCUACCUUUGUACCAGGCUAGGUAUUUGUUGGAUUGAAAGGAGUGCAGCCCUUGGAGAGCAGUUUCAUGGAACUGGAAUUGGAUCUUAAUAUUAUUGGGGAUGGCAAAGUACUUAACUGAAAUUCUACAUUUCACAGUCUCCCUUGCAGAUACAGAUGUGAUGACUAGAACUACAGUGAAAAUGUGAUGGUUAUGGUCAUGUGAUGUUGAUGGAAGCCAGUGUUAAGUAUGGUGAAGCUGAGAGAUCGACAAACAAAUAAGCAAAAAUCCUUGGGUUUCUGAAAAUCAUUGCUUGAUGUACCCCUGGGUUUAUUUUACAUGACAGAGAAAUAAACCUGCAUCUUGUUUAAGC
Molecule: long non-coding RNA, 1173 nt
Filed under: Homo sapiens (human)
Lineage: Eukaryota; Metazoa; Chordata; Mammalia; Primates; Hominidae
Description: HSALNT0263969
Source: RNAcentral